Molecule: ribosomal RNA, 1361 nt
Filed under: uncultured bacterium
Lineage: Bacteria
Description: 16S ribosomal RNA
Rfam family: Bacterial small subunit ribosomal RNA
Source: RNAcentral
AGGGUUUGAUCAUGGCUCAGAACGUACGCUGGCGGCACGCCUAACACAUGCAAGUCGAACGAAGUAGCAAUACUUAGUGGCAGACGGGUGAGUAACAUGUGGGUAUCUGCCCUUUGGCCUGGAAUAACACGAGGAAACUUGUGCUAAUACCGGAUAAGUCUUUACAGAGAAAGCUUUAUGCACCAUUGGAUGAGCCCGCACUUGAUUAGUUUGUUGGUGGGGUAAUAGCCUACCAAGACUGUGAUCAAUAGCUGAUUUGAGAGGAUGAUCAGCCACAUUGGGACUGAGACACGGCCCAAACUCCUACGGGAGGCAGCAGUGGGGAAUCUUGCACAAUGGAGGAAACUCUGAUGCAGCGAUGCCGCGUGAGUGAAGAAGGCCCUUGGGUUGUAAAGCUCUUUCGUCGGGGAAGAAAAUGACUGUACCCGAAUAAGAAGGUCCGGCUAACUUCGUGCCAGCAGCCGCGGUAAUACGAAGGGACCUAGCGUAGUUCGGAAUUACUGGGCUUAAAGAGUUCGUAGGUGGUUGAAAAAGUUGGUGGUGAAAUCCCAGAGCUUAACUCUGGAACUGCCAUCAAAACUUUUCAGCUAGAGUUUGAUAGAGGAAAGCAGAAUUUCUAGUGUAGAGGUGAAAUUCGUAGAUAUUAGAAAGAAUACCAAAUGCGAAGGCAACUUACUGGGUCACUACUGACACUGAGGAGCGAAAGCAUGGGUAGCGAAGAGGAUUAGAUACCCUCGUAGUCCAUGCCGUAAACGAUGAGUGCUAGACGUUGGAAAUAUAUUUUUCAGUGUCGCAGCGAAAGCAUUAAGCACACCGCCUGGGAAGUACGGUCGCAAGAUUAAAACUCAAAGGAAUUGACGGGGGCCCGCACAAGCGGUGGAGCAUGUGGUUUAAUUCGAAGCAACGCGCAGAACCUUACCAGCCCUUGACAUGUGGAGUUUGGUUAUCAGAGAUGAUUUCCUUCAGUUCGGCUGGCUCCAACACAGGUGCUGCAUGGCUGUCGUCAGCUCGUGUCGUGAGAUGUUGGGUUAAGUCCCGCAACGAGCGCAACCCUCAUCUUUAGUUGCCAUCAGUUAGGCUGGGCACUCUAGAGAAACUGCCUGGGAUGACCAGGAGGAAGGCGAGGAUGACGUCAAGUCCUCAUGGCCCUUAUGGGCUGGGCUACACACGUGCUACAAUGGCGGUGACAAAGGGAAGCAAUAGGGCAACCUGGAGCAAAUCCCAAAAAGCCGUCUCAGUUCGGAUUGUUCUCUGCAACUCGAGAGCAUGAAGUUGGAAUCGCUAGUAAUCGUAGAUCAGCAUGCUACGGUGAAUACGUUCCCGGGCCUUGUACACACCGCCCGUCACACCAUGGAAGUUGG